CCGUAGCCCAAGAGAUCGGGAUAACACCUGGAAACAGAUGCUAAUACCGGAUAACAACAGAUGAUGCCUAUCAACUGUUUAAAAGAUGGUUCUGCUAUCACUCUUGGAUGGACCUGCGGUGCAUUAGCUAGUUGGUAGGGUAACGGCCUACCAAGGCGAUGAUGCAUAGCCGAGUUGAGAGACUGAUCGGCCACAUUGGGACUGAGACACGGCCCAAACUCCUACGGGAGGCAGCAGU
Molecule: ribosomal RNA, 238 nt
Filed under: uncultured Lactobacillus sp.
Lineage: Bacteria; Bacillati; Bacillota; Bacilli; Lactobacillales; Lactobacillaceae
Description: partial 16S ribosomal RNA
Rfam family: Bacterial small subunit ribosomal RNA
Source: RNAcentral